RNAcentral lists this long non-coding RNA (4833 nucleotides) under Homo sapiens (human). RNAcentral's name for it is "HSALNT0326029". The record is from RNAcentral. Lineage: Eukaryota; Metazoa; Chordata; Mammalia; Primates; Hominidae.
ACUCCCUCCCACACACCCAGGAGCUCCAGCCUGUUAUGGGAUGGGCAUCCUACCAGGAACCAAGGAUGCUAAGAUGUCCUCCAAAAUGGAUUGCCUCAUAUCUAGUACCCGCCUGCUGCAGGCUUCUUCAUCUAGUUCCUCUGGGGACACACUGUGCAGCUAAUUCAUCCAGGCAGAUUCACUGGGAAGCUGUUGCUCAUGAGGGUGUAAUGAAGAAUCUCCAGGUGGAGAAAUGAUCCUGAAUUAUCCAGUGGGCCCUACAUGUCACCACAUUGCGAUCCUUCUAAGUAGGAAGCAGAAGAUCUGACACAUGCAGGAGAGGGGAAGGCAAUGUGACCAUGGAGGCAGAGAGGGGAGUGAUGUGGCCACAAACCAAGGAUUGUUGGCAGCUGCCAGUGGCCGAAGGGGCAAUGAAUGGAUUCUCCUUUGGAGCCUCUGGAGGGAGAAUGGCCCUGCUAACACCUUGAUUUUGGCCCAGUGAUACUGAUUUUGGACUUCUGCCCUCUAGAACUGUGAGGGAAUACUUUUCUGUUGCUUUAAGCCAUUGAAUUUAUGAUGAUUUGUUACAGCACCCACAGGAAACAAAUGCAUGGAUCUAACUUGAACCUAGUGAGUUAGAUUACUUCAGGGAAACACAAUAAAUAGUUAACAGGGCUUGUCAGGGGGGUGGGAGUGAGAUGAAAGUGUGAAGGCAACUUCUAUGGUUUACUUUUAUAUUUCCCUAUUUUUCAAAUCUUUUGCAAGAAAAUGAAUUCAUAUACUAUUUUAAAAAACAUAUAAAAUAUGAGCAAAAAGAUUUAUUGUAUCUCUUUAAAAUAAUUUAGAACAAGUAAUGGCUGCAGAACCUUAAAGGGUUUUUCUAGCAUGUUUCCAAGAUACAGUCUUGAUUAUUUGAGAUUGACAUGAAGAUGGCCCAGACUGUGCCACAACACAGCACUUGACACCAAAUGUUAGACUGUAAUGGGCCGUGUGAGUAUUACUCAGUGUGGCCAUUUCAUUAUCAAAUAUCUAUUUAUUUCAGAUUUCAAACACGAAUACAAGCUUCUCCUUUCUUUCCUUCCUUUCUCUUUUUCUCCUUUCUACAGCAAGUUCAGGAAUGUGCUAGGUAUGACCUGGGAUAGAAAGAGCAUAUACUCAGCUUUUGCCUUCAAGAAAAUUGGAUAUUGGCUUGGGAGAUAAGAUAAAUGAAAAGGAAGCAGAUGAUCUGUUAUAGAAGAGAUAACACUGUAAGCCCAAAUGUAUGUGAUUAAGUUCUAAAAGUGUAAACCAAUAGGGAGUGCUGUGAGGUGUCACCACGGGCGCAGAUUGCAGCAGAUCUGACCAUACAAGUGUAAAUAAAACCCUAUUGAAUGCCCCCUCUCCCUCCCCAAUUGUUCUGAGUGGUUGCUUCAAGAUUUCUUCUCAUCGUUCUCAAAUUGUUACUGUGAGAUUAACUGGCAAACAUUUCUCCUUAACAUAAGAAGUGUGAAUGGAAUCCUACCAAGUGAUUUUGCCAAUAGUUCCUAUUCCUGCUGCAAACAGUGGUGUGCUCAGGCUUAAGCUGUAACAUGUCCACACUCACCUGUCACUUGGGAAUGCCUCUGUUGGAAUGCAACAUGCCCACUUAUCACACAGCCGGCAUGAGAGGCAGAGUGGAGUUUAACCAAGCAUUCUGCCCCCAAAGUCUGCAGAUGUAGCCAGUGCCUUCAGAAAAGGGAAGGGAAACUAACCCUGUUGAGUAUCUACUAUGUGCUAGGCAUUCUGUUAAGCACUUUUACACACAUCAUUUAAUCCUCGUGACAGUAUUUAGAAAUAGCUAUCAUUUCCCAGUUCUGUAGAUGAGGAAGAAAAGGUAGGCUCAGAGAGGGUAGGUAAGUUGUCUAAGGUCACAUAGCUGGUACAUAGUAGUAGAGCUAGGGUGCAAACCCAAGAUUUUCUGAGUCCAAAGCACAUGCCUAUUCCAUCAUUUCGGUAAUAAGAAUAAAUGUCUUUCAAAUGUAGUGGUGAGAGAUGAAUAAAAAGCCGUCCUUGGUGAUCCUGGGGAGUCUACACCCUCUGCCUGCCUGGCUCCACAUCAAGCUUGUGUUUGCCAGCACUUACACCCCUGCAUUUCCCUCCAAUCCCUGUCAUCUCCCUUGUGGAGUCCUCUCCUCCUCUCCUACCCGUUGGUCCCCUUUUUCACCCAUCCUUCAGCCAUUUAAUGAUCUCAUUGUAUUGCCCAGGCUGGUGUGCCUUGGCACAAUCUUGGCUCACUGCAGCCUCCACCUCUUGGGUUCAAGUGAUCCUCACCACUCAGUCUCUUGAGUAGCUGCUGGGACUACAGGCACGUGCUACCAUGCCUGGCUAAUUUUUUGUAUUUUUUGGUAGAGACAGGGUUUCAUCAUGUUGGCCAGGCUAUUCAAACUCCUGGGCUCCAGUGAUCGGCCUGCCUCGGCUCCCAAAAUGCUGGGAUUACAGGCAUGAACCACCAUGCCUGGGCUAGCAAUUAUUUCUUGACUUGAAUUGCUUCCUGGUUGCUCACAGAAGUCUGCUGCAACCUCUUCUCCCCAGCUUAUUCCUUUUGUGCCACUUCACUCCCAAUUCCCACCCUUCACUAUCCAUGACUCUGUCCUGAGCUCAGAGAUAACUCAGUGAAUAAAACCUUCCACCAUGAUGGCAAUGUUCUGUAUUCACGCUGUCCAACGUGGUAGCCACUAGCCACAUGUGGAUUUUGAGCCCUUGAAACAUGGCUAGUGUGACUGAAGAACCGACUUUUUAGUUGCAUGUUAAAUAUAAUCAACCAAUUAAUUUAAGUAAUUUAUUUAAAUAAUAUAGGUAAAUUAAUUUACAUUUUAAUAGCUCCUGCCAUAUUGGAUCACAUAGCUGUCCAAACAUGGAAAAAACAAGCUCCUCCAUCUGAAGCCCAAACUUGAGUACAGGCUUUUGCAAAAUUCUGCAGAAGUAUAUUCUUAAGUUUACAGAAAUGAAGUCUGAUGGAAAGCUGUACAAUUCAUUUCCAAGCGUGUCGUGGCUCCCGUUUGUUCUCAAGUUCUCUUGAGCAAGUCAUCAUGCAGUCAGUCUGUGGACUCACGUGUAGACACCACCUGUUGUCUAUAGGGUGGCAGCUCCAUUAAAAUAACAUUCACAUCUAUAGGGGAACAUGGGGGAGAUGCCUAAGUGGUCUGUUAUGGAAUUGCCCUAAAAUCCCUCCAAAGACAUUGAGAUGCUAACUAGAAAAAAUUGCUUCUUUUUUCCCCCUCUUCAUUUCUGUCAAAUUUAAUUUUCUUGUUUUCUUUUCCUGAAACUCUAGUAGCUGUCAAGAAUGUAUUGCUGGAAGCCAAAUCUGUCAUUUUGUCUUCGGCAGUUGAAGAACUUUCAUUUUUCUUUCUAGGAGUAAUGCAUUUCUACUUAGAGAACAGCUAAGUGAAAAUGUACUCCUGAAACAAGAUUUUUUCUGCAGGCUUCCUUGAAUUUGUCAAAAAGACAAAAAUCUUACCAGCUUCACUUUGUAAUAAUGCCCCAAAGUUACUUGGAAUCAUCUUCCACCUACUUUUCUUGUCUCUAUUAUUUAAUAUGUGUAGUAGGGAAGAAGAAAAUGAACACAUUUACAAUUUAAGGUUCUGCUUAUACAUGUAUUGUCAAAGCUAAUUGUUUUAAACAAGGUGUUUUAUCUUUGAUUAAAGUGAUCAAUGCCUAUAAGUAUAAAAGAAAUGAUAGUAGAGUUUCAUGGUCUCUUUCAUAACACAGUCCCAUACUUAACACUUUGAUGUGCUGACACUGAUAAUGAAGAUACAAGGCCUGACUUAAGCAAUAGUUAGCCUUCAAAAUAGAAAGGUGAAUGGUACAUUCAUUUCUGAAAUUCCUGAGGUUUUUCCUUGCUCUACUCAGUUAGACAGAGAAGCAUUAAAAAAAAAAAAAAUCCCCAUUGCAGAGAAGGAAACUGAGACCACCAGUCAAUCAAAGGGAGGAUUUUUACUUUCCCAAAACAACUGGGUAUCAGCAAUGUCAAAUAUUCAACAUAACUUGUAAGCCCUCCUAGCACUACCUUCAAAGCACAUAAGGCAUCUCUUCAGGUCAGCCAUUUGCUCCUGACACAGACCUGAUGUCUACUGCUUGUGUAAUUGAUGUUAACAAUGGAUACUGAGAAUUCCCCAAGAGAAUUUUACUGUUUUCAUUAAGUUGGUCAAGUAGAAAAGGUGAAUACUAUUGUCAUCCCUGCCCUAACAAUGUGAUUAACAUUUUAUCUCUCUGAGUUCCUCUCCCCUCCUUACCCUUUAUCCCUAUCAGGGGCAGACUCAUAUCAUGAUAAUGUCAUUGCUACACAGCUCAAGUUCACUGUCACCCAAGAGGGUCUCCUGGAGCUUACACAUGACAGGCAAUGGUAUUAGAGGUGAAAUAUACAGAAGCAAUGGCAUUAGAAAUAUACAGAAUGUAUAAAUAAAUAUGCAGAAGCAUUGGCAUUAGAGAUGAAAUGUAAACUUUCCAUAAACAUUGUGAAUGCCCGAUUCAAGGAAAGUAUGUUCUGUCCGAAUCGGAAACACCUUUUAGCUACAGUGGUUCUGAGGAAGGUACCUCUGCGAGGAUGUUAAAAAAAUAUGUAAAGGUGUAUUUUUCAUUGUCACAGCAACAAGGAUGAAAAGGUGGAAAAUGGGAAAGGGUGAUGGGGAUGGUAGAGGGGUGGGGACCUACCAGCAUCUGGUGUCCAGGACUCAGGGAUGUCAAAUGCCUGCAAUUCUCAGGGCAUUCCCACCUUAUGAAUUGUCUCACCAAAAAUGUCAGUAACACCUGUACUGGGAAAGAAUGGAAGGGGAAGUGCGCAGCACUCAAAUAGUUGCUAACAAUGGUCAUUUGAAAUUCACCAUUUUACAUACAUAU